Molecule: ribosomal RNA, 906 nt
Filed under: uncultured bacterium
Lineage: Bacteria
Description: bacterial SSU rRNA
Rfam family: Bacterial small subunit ribosomal RNA
Source: RNAcentral
GAUGAACGCUAGCGACAGGCCUAACACAUGCAAGUCGAGGGGUAACAUUAUUUUAGUUUACUAUAAUAGAUGACGACCGGCGCACGGGUGAGUAACACGUAUACAACCUGCCUUUAACAUUGGGAUAACCCGUUGAAAAGCGGACUAAUACCAAAUGAUAUAAUUUUAUCGCAUGAUAUUUUUAUUAAAGAUUUAUUGGUUUUAGAUGGGUAUGCGUAUGAUUAGUUUGUUGGUAAGGUAACGGCUUACCAAGACUUCGAUCAUUAGGGGUUCUGAGAGGAAGGUCCCCCACACUGGUACUGAGACACGGACCAGACUCCUACGGGAGGCAGCAGUGAGGAAUAUUGGUCAAUGGGCGAGAGCCUGAACCAGCCAAGUCGCGUGAAGGAUGACUGCCCUCUGGGCUGUAAACUUCUUUUGUAUAGGAAUAACGGGCUCCACGUGUGGAGUUAUGCAUGUACUAUACGAAUAAGGAUCGGCUAACUCCGUGCCAGCAGCCGCGGUAAUACGGAGGAUCCAAGCGUUAUCCGGAUUUAUUGGGUUUAAAGGGUGCGUAGGUGGACUUAUAAGUCAGCGGUGAAAGUUUGUAGCUCAACUAUAAAAUUGCCGUUGAAACUGUAGGUCUUGAGUUCAAGUGAGGUUGGCGGAAUGUGUCAUGUACGGUGAAAUGCUUAAUAUGACCCAGAACUCCGAUUGCGUAGCAGCUGACUGGUAUGCGACUGACACUGAUGCACGAAAGCGUGGGUAUCAAACAGGAUUAGAUACCCCUGGUAGUCCACGCCGUAAACGAUGAAUACUAAACUGUUUGCGAUUAUACAGUAAGCGGUACAGCGAAAGCGUUAAGUAUUCCCCCUGGGGGAUACGUUGGGCACAAUGAAACUCAUAGGAAUUUGACGGGGGCCCGCC